AACGCACAUUGCGCCCCUUGGUAUUCCGAGGGGCAUGCCUGUUCGAGCGUCAUUACAACCCUCAAGCAUUGCUUGGUAUUAGGCUCUGCUGUUCACCCAGCAGGCCUUAAAAUCAGUGGCGGUGCCGUCGAGGCCCUGAGCGUAGUAAAUAUCCUCGCUAUAGGGACCCGGUGGAUACUGGCCAUCAACCCCCAACUUUCUAAGUUUGACCUCGGAUCAGGUAGGGAUACCCGCUGAACUUAA
Molecule: unclassified non-coding RNA, 243 nt
Filed under: uncultured fungus
Lineage: Eukaryota; Fungi
Description: sequence contains ITS2
Rfam family: 5.8S ribosomal RNA (bases 1-52)
Source: RNAcentral